Molecule: unclassified non-coding RNA, 336 nt
Filed under: soil metagenome
Description: partial contains 5.8S ribosomal RNA, internal transcribed spacer 2, and large subunit ribosomal RNA
Rfam family: 5.8S ribosomal RNA (bases 1-120)
Source: RNAcentral
GAUGAAGAACGUAGCGAAAUGCGAUAAGUAGUGUGAAUUGCAGAAUUCAGUGAAUCAUCGAAUCUUUGAACGCACAUUGCGCCCCUUGGUAUUCCAUGGGGCAUGCCUGUUCGAGCGUCAUUUGUACCUUCAAGCUUUGCUUGGUGUUGGGUGUUUGUCUCGCCUUUGCGUGUAGACUCGCCUUAAAAUAAUUGGCAGCCGGCGUAUUGAUUUCGGAGCGCAGUACAUCUCGCGCUUUGCACUCAUAUCGACAGCGUCCAAAAGUACAUUUUACACUCUUGACCUCGGAUCAGGUAGGGAUACCCGCUGAACUUAAGCAUAUCAAUAAGCGGAGGA